GAUGAACGCUAGCGGCAGGCCUAACACAUGCAUGUCGAGGGGUAACUAGAGUGAUAGCAAUAUUACUUUGGCUAGACCGGCGCACGGGUGCGUAACACGUAUGCAACCUACCUUAUACUGGGGAAUAACUUCGAGAAAUCGGCGCUAAUACCCCAUAACACUGCGGAGAGGCAUCUCUUUGCAGUUAAAGCUCCGGCGGUAUAAGAUGGGCAUGCGUCCAAUUAGCUAGUUGGUGAGGUAACGGCUCACCAAGGCUACGAUUGGUAGGGGUUCUGAGAGGAUGAUCCCCCACACUGGUACUGAGACCCGGACCAGACUCCUACGGGAGGCAGCAGUGAGGAAUAUUGCGCAAUGGACGAAAGUCUGACGCAGCCAUGCCGCGUGCAGGAUGACGGCCCUAUGGGUUGUAAACUGCUUUUGUACGGGAAUAAACCCUUCUACGUGUAGGAGGCUGAAGGUACCGUAAGAAUAAGCACCGGCUAACUCCGUGCCAGCAGCCGCCGUAA
Molecule: ribosomal RNA, 506 nt
Filed under: uncultured bacterium
Lineage: Bacteria
Description: partial 16S ribosomal RNA
Rfam family: Bacterial small subunit ribosomal RNA
Source: RNAcentral